AACGAACGCUGGCGGCGUGGAUAAGACAUGCAAGUCGAACGGGAAUAAGUUUGUAGCAAUACAAAUUUAUUCUAGUGGCGCACGGGUGCGUAACACGUGAGCAAUCUGCCGGGAAGUGGGGGAUAGCUCGCCGAAAGGCGAAUUAAUACCGCAUAUGACUAGGAGUGACAUCUCUCCGACGUCAAAGCAGCAAUGCGCUUCCUGAUGAGCUCGCGGCCUAUCAGCUAGAUGGCGGGGUAACGGCCCACCAUGGCUAUGACGGGUAGCUGGUCUGAGAGGACGACCAGCCACACUGGAACUGAGACACGGUCCAGACACCUACGGGUGGCAGCAGUCGAGAAUUUUUCACAAUGGGGGAAACCCUGAUGGAGCGACGCCGCGUGGAGGACGAAGGCCUUCGGGUCGUAAACUCCUGUCAUGCGGGAACAAGAAAGUGAUAGUACCGCAAGAGGAAGAGACGGCUAACUCUGUGCCAGCAGCCGCAGUAAUAC
Molecule: ribosomal RNA, 491 nt
Filed under: uncultured bacterium
Lineage: Bacteria
Description: bacterial SSU rRNA
Rfam family: Bacterial small subunit ribosomal RNA
Source: RNAcentral